AGCUCCUACGGGGGGCAGCAGUAGGGAAUCUUCCACAAUGGGCGAAAGCCUGAUGGAGCAACGCCGCGUGGGUGAAGAAGGUCUUCGGAUCGUAAAACCCUGUUGUUAGAGAAGAAAGUGCGUGAGAGUAACUGUUCACGUUUCGACGGUAUCUAACCAGAAAGCCACGGCUAACUACGUGCCAGCAGCCGCGGUAAUACGUAGGUGGCAAGCGUUAUCCGGAUUUAUUGGGCGUAAAGGGAACGCAGGCAGUCUUUCAAGUCUGAUGUGAAAGCCUUCGGCUUAACUGGAGUAGUGCAUUGGAA
Molecule: ribosomal RNA, 305 nt
Filed under: uncultured bacterium
Lineage: Bacteria
Description: bacterial SSU rRNA
Rfam family: Bacterial small subunit ribosomal RNA
Source: RNAcentral